GAUGAACGCUGGCGGCGUGCCUAAUACAUGCAAGUCGGGCGAACAGACGAGGAGCUUGCUCCUCUGACGUUAGCGGCGGACGGGUGAGUAACACGUGGAUAACCUACCUAUAAGACUGGGAUAACUUCGGGAAGCCGGAGCUAAUACCGGAUAAUAUAUUGAACCGCAUGGUUCAAUAGUGAAAGACGGUUUUGCUGUCACUUAUAGAUGGAUCCGCGCCGCAUUAGCUAGUUGGUAAGGUAACGGCUUACCAAGGCGACGAUGCGUAGCCGACCUGAGAGGGUGAUCGGCCACACUGGAACUGAGACACGGUCCAGACUCCUACGGGAGGCAGCAGUAGGGAAUCUUCCGCAAUGGGCGAAAGCCUGACGGAGCAACGCCGCGUGAGUGAUGAAGGUCUUCGGAUCGUAAAACUCUGUUAUUAGGGAAGAACAAAUGUGUAAGUAACUAUGCACGUCUUGACGGUACCUAAUCAGAAAGCCACGGCUAACUACGUG
Molecule: ribosomal RNA, 497 nt
Filed under: uncultured bacterium
Lineage: Bacteria
Description: partial 16S ribosomal RNA
Rfam family: Bacterial small subunit ribosomal RNA
Source: RNAcentral